This 763-nucleotide ribosomal RNA is filed under the name uncultured Streptococcus sp. Its description in RNAcentral is "bacterial SSU rRNA". It matches the Rfam family "Bacterial small subunit ribosomal RNA", at positions 28 to 776 of the family's 1533-position model. The record is from RNAcentral. Lineage: Bacteria; Bacillati; Bacillota; Bacilli; Lactobacillales; Streptococcaceae.
GACGAACGCUGGCGGCGUGCCUAAUACAUGCAAGUAGAACGCUGAAGGAGGAGCUUGCUUCUCCGGAUGAGUUGCGAACGGGUGAGUAACGCGUAGGUAACCUGCCUGGUAGCGGGGGAUAACUAUUGGAAACGAUAGCUAAUACCGCAUAAGAGUAGAUGUUGCAUGACAUUUGCUUAAAAGGUGCAAUUGCACCACUACCAGAUGGACCUGCGUUGUAUUAGCUAGUUGGUGGGGUAACGGCUCACCAAGGCGACGAUACAUAGCCGACCUGAGAGGGUGAUCGGCCACACUGGGACUGAGACACGGCCCAGACUCCUACGGGAGGCAGCAGUAGGGAAUCUUCGGCAAUGGACGGAAGUCUGACCGAGCAACGCCGCGUGAGUGAAGAAGGUUUUCGGAUCGUAAAGCUCUGUUGUAAGAGAAGAACGAGUGUGAGAGUGGAAAGUUCACACUGUGACGGUAUCUUACCAGAAAGGGACGGCUAACUACGUGCCAGCAGCCGCGGUAAUACGUAGGUCCCGAGCGUUGUCCGGAUUUAUUGGGCGUAAAGCGAGCGCAGGCGGUUAGAUAAGUCUGAAGUUAAAGGCUGUGGCUUAACCAUAGUACGCUUUGGAAACUGUUUAACUUGAGUGCAAGAGGGGAGAGUGGAAUUCCAUGUGUAGCGGUGAAAUGCGUAGAUAUAUGGAGGAACACCGGUGGCGAAAGCGGCUCUCUGGCUUGUAACUGACGCUGAGGCUCGAAAGCGUGGGGAGCAAACAGG